GGAAAGGAAGAAAGAGAAAUAAGGGCCAGUUGGUUGCAGUAGUCAGUUGCUUGUUUUUUCUGCUGUUUGCUGGUUUUUGGCUUUCGGCAGAUGCAGUUUUUUUGAUGAGAUUUUUUCUUCCCUUUUUUUUCUUUGUAUAGAUACUGUUCUCUUACAGCUCAGAGAAAAGAAGAGAGAACGAAAGGCAAACAGGAUUAAAGUUUCUUUUUUGUUUUUUCUCUUAUUAUUCUC
Molecule: non-coding RNA, 231 nt
Filed under: Partenskyella glossopodia
Lineage: Eukaryota; Cercozoa; Chlorarachniophyceae
Source: RNAcentral